UCCAGACUCCUACGGGAGGCAGCAGUGGGGAAUAUUGCGCAAUGGGCGAAAGCCUGACGCAGCGACGCCGCGUGAGGGAUGAAGGUCUUCGGAUCGUAAACCUCUGUCAGCAGGGAAGAACGGUCACUGUGCUAAUCAGCAGUGAAUUGACGGUACCUGCAAAGGAAGCACCGGCUAACUCCGUGCCAGCAGCCGCGGUAAUACGUAGGUGGCAAGCGUUAUCCGGAUUUAUUGGGUGUAAAGGGCGUGUAGGCGGGAAAGCAAGUCAGAUGUGAAAACUCAGGGCUCAACCCUGAGCCUGCAUUUGAAACUGUUUUUCUUGAGUGCUGGAGAGGCAAUCGGAAUUCCGUGUGUAGCGGUGAAAUGCGUAGAUAUACGGAGGAACACCGGUGGCGAAGGCGGCCUGCUGGACUGCGACUGACGUUGAGGCCCGAAAGCGUGGGGAGCAAACAGGAUUAGAUACCCGCGUAUAA
Molecule: ribosomal RNA, 473 nt
Filed under: uncultured bacterium
Lineage: Bacteria
Description: partial 16S ribosomal RNA
Rfam family: Bacterial small subunit ribosomal RNA
Source: RNAcentral